Ipomoea nil (Japanese morning glory) is the source of this 94-nucleotide long non-coding RNA. RefSeq lists it as uncharacterized. The transcript is spliced from 3 exons. The record is from RefSeq and is a predicted model, not a curated record. Lineage: Eukaryota; Viridiplantae; Streptophyta; Magnoliopsida; Solanales; Convolvulaceae.
UUAACUAUUUUAAACUAAAGGAAAAUGGGAAGUCGAGAGUGAAAGAAACACAAAGCAUUUAUCACUUCAUUUAGUGUGACAUAGAUUGCAUAAC